This 988-nucleotide ribosomal RNA is filed under the name gut metagenome. Its description in RNAcentral is "bacterial SSU rRNA". It matches the Rfam family "Bacterial small subunit ribosomal RNA", at positions 8 to 986 of the family's 1533-position model. The record is from RNAcentral.
AGAGUUUGAUCCUGGCUCAGGAUGAACGCUAGCGACAGGCCUAACACAUGCAAGUCGAGGGGCAGCGGGGAGGUAGCAAUACCUUUGCCGGCGACCGGCGCACGGGUGAGUAACACGUAUGCAAUCCACCUGUAACAGGGGGAUAACCCGGAGAAAUCCGGACUAAUACCCCAUAAUAUGGGCGCUCCGCAUGGAGGGUCCAUUAAAGAGAGCAAUCUUGGUUACAGACGAGCAUGCGCUCCAUUAGCCAGUUGGCGGGGUAACGGCCCACCAAGGCGACGAUGGAUAGGGGUUCUGAGAGGAAGGUCCCCCACAUUGGAACUGAGACACGGUCCAAACUCCUACGGGAGGCAGCAGUGAGGAAUAUUGGUCAAUGGUCGGCAGACUGAACCAGCCAAGUCGCGUGAGGGAAGACGGCCCUACGGGUUGUAAACCUCUUUUGUCGGAGAGUAAAGUGCGCUACGUGUAGCGUAUUGCAAGUAUCCGAAGAAAAAGCAUCGGCUAACUCCGUGCCAGCAGCCGCGGUAAUACGGAGGAUGCGAGCGUUAUCCGGAUUUAUUGGGUUUAAAGGGUGCGUAGGCGGCACGCCAAGUCAGCGGUGAAAUUUCCGGGCUCAACCCGGACUGUGCCGUUGAAACUGGCGAGCUAGAGUGCACAAGAGGCAGGCGGAAUGCGUGGUGUAGCGGUGAAAUGCAUAGAUAUCACGCAGAACCCCGAUUGCGAAGGCAGCCUGCUAGGGUGCGACAGACGCUGAGGCACGAAAGCGUGGGUAUCGAACAGGAUUAGAUACCCUGGUAGUCCACGCAGUAAACGAUGAAUACUAACUGUUUGCGAUACAAUGUAAGCGGUACAGCGAAAGCGUUAAGUAUUCCACCUGGGGAGUACGCCGGCAACGGUGAAACUCAAAGGAAUUGACGGGGGCCCGCACAAGCGGAGGAACAUGUGGUUUAAUUCGAUGAUACGCGAGGAACCUUACCCGGGCUCAAAC